GUUAUCGUUUAUUUGAUGUUUCCUUACUACAUGGAUAACCGUAGUAAUUCUAGAGCUAAUACAUGCCCACAAAGCCCCGACGCAAGAAGGGGUGUAUUUAUUAGAUUCAAACCAACAUUUAACCCGGUGAUUCAUAGUAACUCUUUGUUUUCGAACCGCAUGGCCUUGCGCUGGCGGUGCUUCAUUCAAAUUUCUGCCCUAUCAACUUUCGAUGGUAGGAUAGUGGCCUACCAUGGUUUUAACGGGUGACGGGGGAUUAGGGUCUUAUCCCGGAGAGUAUGCCUGAGAGACGGCAAACACAUCCAAGGAAGGCAGCAGGCGCGCAAAUUACCCAAUCCCAACACGGGGAGGUAGUGACAAUAAAUACCAAUGCAGAGCCCACUGGGUUUUGCAAUUGGAAUGAGAACAAUUUAAAUCCCUUAACGAGGAUCCAUUAGAGGGCAAGUCUGGUGCCAGCAGCCGCGGUAAUUCCAGCUCUAAUAGCGUAUAUUAAAGUUGUUGCAGUUAAAAAGCUCGUAGUUGGACUUUUGGGAAAAUUAAAAGGAUGGUGAAUUAAAAGUUGUUGGGCGUUUAAACGCGUCCGAUGACCGCUAUCCCCCAAUCAUUUAUGUGGGAGGGGGUCAUUCGUUGGGUCUGGAGGUUGUCUGGCUUUGUCGCAAGGCAGGGUCGGGUGGCAAUACCGUCAUGGGUGGCCAUUCCAAACUCUCUCACUUUUUACCUUGAGCAAAUUAGAGUGUUCAAAGCGGGCUUGUUACGCUUGAAUAGUCUAGCAUGGAAUAAUGGAAUAGGACUCGAGUCCUGUUCGUUGGUUUUUGGGAUUUGAGUAAUGAUUAAUAGGGAUGGUUGGGGCCGUUUGUAUUCCGUUGUCAGAGGUGAAAUUCUUGGAUUUACGGAAGACAAACAUCUGCGAAAGCAUUCGGCAAGCACAUGCUCAUUAAUCAAGAACGAAAGUUAGGGGAUCGAAGACGAUCAGAUACCGUCGUAGUCUUAACCAUAAACUAUGCCGACUCGGGAUCCG
Molecule: ribosomal RNA, 1018 nt
Filed under: Goniomonas truncata
Lineage: Eukaryota; Cryptophyceae; Goniomonadida; Goniomonadaceae
Description: SSU rRNA
Rfam family: Eukaryotic small subunit ribosomal RNA
Source: RNAcentral